AGCAGUAGCCACGGUAAUACGUAGGUGGCAAGCGUUGUCCGGAAUCAUUGGGCGUAAAGGGCUCGCAGGCGGUUUCUUAAGUCUGAUGUGAAAGCCCCCGGCUCAACCGGGGAGGGUCAUUGGAAACUGGGAAACUUGAGUGCAGAAGAGGAGAGUGGAAUUCCACGUAUAGCGGUGAAAUGCGUAGAGAUGUGGAGGAACACCAGUGGCGAAGGCGACUCUCUGGUCUGUAACUGACGCUGAGGAGCGAAAGCGUGGGGAGCGAACAGGAUUAGAUACCCCGGUAGUCCCUGUCUCUUAUAC
RNAcentral lists this ribosomal RNA (303 nucleotides) under uncultured bacterium. RNAcentral's name for it is "partial 16S ribosomal RNA". It matches the Rfam family "Bacterial small subunit ribosomal RNA", at positions 507 to 807 of the family's 1533-position model. The record is from RNAcentral.